AGCGAACGUUAGCGGCGGGCCUAACACAUGCAAGUCGUACGAGAACGCUCCUUCGGGAGUUAUUAAAGUGGCGCACGGGUGAGGAACGCGUAGGUAAUCUACCCUCAGGCGGGGGACAACACUCCGAAAGGAAUGCUAAUACCGCGUAAGACCACACUUACUAAGGUGAGAGUGGUAAAAGAUGGCCUCUUCUUGAAAGCUAUCACCAGAGGAUGAGCCUGCGUCCCAUCAGCUUGUUGGUAAGGUAACGGCUUACCAAGGCGAAGACGGGUAGCUGGUCUGAGAGGAUGAUCAGCCACACUGGCACUGGAACACGGGCCAGACUCCUACGGGAGGCAGCAGUGAGGAAUAUUGGGCAAUGGGCGCAAGCCUGACCCAGCCACGCCGCGUGUGUGAUGAAGGCCUUCGGGUCGUAAAGCACUGUGGGGAGGGACGAAAAAACCUCCGUUCGAAUAGGGCGGAGGCUUGACGGUACCUCCUUAGCAAGCACCGGCUAACUCUGUG
This 504-nucleotide ribosomal RNA is filed under the name uncultured bacterium. RNAcentral's name for it is "bacterial SSU rRNA". It matches the Rfam family "Bacterial small subunit ribosomal RNA", at positions 29 to 507 of the family's 1533-position model. The record is from RNAcentral.